Molecule: ribosomal RNA, 1012 nt
Filed under: Leptobrachium hendricksoni (spotted litter frog)
Lineage: Eukaryota; Metazoa; Chordata; Amphibia; Anura; Megophryidae
Description: partial 16S ribosomal RNA
Rfam family: Bacterial large subunit ribosomal RNA
Source: RNAcentral
AGAUUAGUUCUUUCUUAAAAUAUUCUAGCAAAGCCAAGUAAAUCUAAUUUUUAAGAAUUAUUCAAUAAAGGUACAGCUUUAUUGAAAAAGGAAACAACCUAAACCUUAGGAUAAUGAAUAUUUUUAAAUAGGUAAAAGGCCAAGUUGGCCUAAAAGCAGCCAUCUUUAAAGAUAGCGUCAAAGCUUCACCUUAAACACACCUUAAAUCUCAUUAUUUUUUCAUAAUCCAACAAUUCUACUAAGCCAUUCUAUACUUUUAUAGAAAAGUUUAUGUUAGGACUAGUAACACAGAAUAAUUUCUCUUACAUGUAAGUUUAAAUCAACCCGAAUACCUCCUUGAUAAUUACUCAAAUUUGAACCUUAAGUAGUACCUAUUAAUUACAAAAACCCUACUUAACUUAUUGUUAAUCAAACAUAUGGAUAUGAAAGAAAGAUUAAAAAAUUAAGAAGGAACUCGGCAAACACAAGUCCCGCCUGUUUACCAAAAACAUCGCCUUUUGAAAAGUAUAAAAGGUAACGCCUGCCCACUGACAGUAUGUUUAACGGCCGCGGUAUUCUGACCGUGCGAAGGUAGCGUAAUCACUUGUCUUUUAAAUGAAGACUCGUAUGAAAGGCAUCACGAGAACUUAGCUGUCUCCUUAAUUCAAUCAGUGAAACUGAUACCCCUGUAAAAAAGCAGGGAUGAUUACAUAAGACGAGAAGACCCUGUGGAGCUUAAAACAUAAGCUACUUCUAUACUCUACUAACUUAUAGUACUAAAAUACAAACCUAGCCUAAGUUUUCUGUUGGGGCGGCUGUGGAGAAAAACUUAUCCUCCAUGAAGAAAAAACUUUGAUCUACCGCUCUUAGUAUUAGCAAGCCUAACUUAAAUUGAUCCAAUUUUUGAUCAACGGACCAAGUUACCCCAGGGAUAACAGCGCAAUCCAUUUCAAGAGUCCCUAUCGACAAAUGGGUUUACGACCUCGAUGUUGGAUUAGGACAUCCUAGUGGUGUAGCCGCUACUAAUGGUCGU